RNAcentral lists this transfer RNA (83 nucleotides) under Felis catus (domestic cat). It matches the Rfam family "tRNA". Rfam says of the family: Transfer RNA (tRNA) molecules are approximately 80 nucleotides in length. Their secondary structure includes four short double-helical elements and three loops (D, anti-codon, and T loops). The record is from Rfam by way of RNAcentral. Lineage: Eukaryota; Metazoa; Chordata; Mammalia; Carnivora; Felidae. RNAcentral also lists the same sequence under 1 other name.
GCUCAGUUGGUUAAGCGCCUGACUCUUGACUUCAGCUCAAGUCAUGAUCUCCUGGUUCGUGGGUUUGAGCCCUGCACUGGGCU